RNAcentral lists this ribosomal RNA (509 nucleotides) under uncultured bacterium. RNAcentral describes it as "bacterial SSU rRNA". It matches the Rfam family "Bacterial small subunit ribosomal RNA", at positions 29 to 518 of the family's 1533-position model. The record is from RNAcentral.
AUGAACGCUGGCGGCGUGCUUAAUACAUGCAAGUCGAACGAAGAGCCCUUAACCGAAGAUGAUGACGUGCUUGCACUGAAUCUGAUUCACCUUAGGGUUACUGAGUGGCGGACGGGUGAGUAACGCGUGGGUAACCUGCCUUAGACAGGGGGAUAACAUCAAGAAAUUGGUGCUAAUACCGCAUAUGCUCACAGUAUCGCAUGAUACAGUGAGGAAAACUCCGGUGGUCUAAGAUGGACCCGCGUCUGAUUAGCUAGUUGGAGGGGUAACGGCCCACCAAGGCGACGAUCAGUAGCCGACUUGAGAGAGUGAUCGGCCACAUUGGGACUGAGACACGGCCCAAACUCCUACGGGAGGCAGCAGUAGGGAAUAUUGCACAAUGGGGGAAACCCUGAUGCAGCGACGCCGCGUGAAGGAUGAAGUAUUUCGGUAUGUAAACUUCUAUCAGCAAGGAAGAAAAUGACGGUACUUGACUAAGAAGCCCCGGCUAAAUACGUGCCAGCCGCUGC